This 31-nucleotide non-coding RNA is filed under the name Homo sapiens (human). The record is from RNAcentral. Lineage: Eukaryota; Metazoa; Chordata; Mammalia; Primates; Hominidae.
UGGCAAGAGUAAGAGUGUCCACACCAAUGGU